This 752-nucleotide ribosomal RNA is filed under the name uncultured archaeon. Its description in RNAcentral is "bacterial SSU rRNA". It matches the Rfam family "Archaeal small subunit ribosomal RNA", at positions 681 to 1435 of the family's 1478-position model. The record is from RNAcentral.
CAGAACGAGUCUGACGGUGAGGGACGAAGCCNUGGGUCACAAACCGGAUUAGAUACCCGGGUAGUCCAGGGUGUAAACGCUGCUUGCUUGAUGUUAGUUGGGCUACGAGCCCAACUAGUGUCGGAGAGAAGUUGUUAAGCAAGCUGCCUGGGAAAUACGGUNGCAAGGCUGAAACUUAAAGGAAUUGGCGGGGGAGCACAGCAACGGGUGGAGCGUGCGGUUUAAUUGGAUUCAACGCCGGAAAGCUCACCGGAGGCGACGGUUACAUGAGGGCCAGGCUGAUGACCUUGCCUAAUUUUCCGAGAAGUGGUGCAUGGCCGCCGUCAGUUCGUACCGUAAGGCGUUCUGUUAAGUCAGACAACGAACGAGACCCUCACCAUUAGUUGCAAUUUAUUCCCCAGGGAAUGGAGCACUCUAAUGGGACCGCUGGCGCUAAGUCAGAGGAAGGCGAGGGCAACGGUAGGUCAGUAUGCCCUGAAUCCUUCGGGCUACACGCGCGCUACAAAGGCUAGGACAAUGGGCUUCGACACCGAAAGGUGAAGGCAAUCCUGAAACCUAGUCGUAGUUCGGAUUGAGGAUUGAAACUCAUCCUCAUGAAGCUGGAAUCCGUAGUAAUCGCGGGUCAACAUCCCGCGGUGAAUAUGCCCCUGCUCCUUGCACACACCGCCCGUCAAACCAUGCGAGUUGGGUUUAAGUGAGGAUGUAGUAUUUUGCUGCGUUCAAACUUAGGCUUAGCAAGCGGGGUUAAGUCG